UACGAAGGGGGCUAGCGUUGCUCGGAAUCACUGGGCGUAAGGGUGCGUAGGCGGGUCUUUAAGUCAGAGGUGAAAUCCUGGAGCUCAACUCCAGAACUGCCUUUGAUACUGAAGAUCUUGAGUUCGGGAGAGGUGAGUGGAACUGCGAGUGUAGAGGUGAAAUUCGUAGAUAUUCGCAAGAACACCAGUGGCGAAGGCGGCUCACUGGCCCGAUACUGACGCUGAGGCACGAAAGCGUGGGGAG
This 244-nucleotide ribosomal RNA is filed under the name uncultured bacterium. RNAcentral describes it as "partial 16S ribosomal RNA". It matches the Rfam family "Bacterial small subunit ribosomal RNA", at positions 524 to 768 of the family's 1533-position model. The record is from RNAcentral.